Molecule: ribosomal RNA, 459 nt
Filed under: uncultured bacterium
Lineage: Bacteria
Description: partial 16S ribosomal RNA
Rfam family: Bacterial small subunit ribosomal RNA
Source: RNAcentral
CUACGGGGUGCUCCAGUAAGGAAUAUUGGGCAAUGGACGCAAGUCUGACCCAGCCAUGCCGCGUGCAGGAUGACAGCCCUACGGGUUGUAAACUGCUUUUAUACGGGAAAAAUUCUUCCGACGUGUCGGAAGUUGAUGGUACUGUAUGAAUAAGCAUCGGCUAACUCCGGGCCAGCAGCCGCGGUAAUACGGAGGAUGCAAGCGUUAUCCGGAUUUAUUGGGUUUAAAGGGUGCGUAGGCGGAAUGAUAAGUCAGUGGUGAAAUCCUACGGCUCAACCGUAGAACUGCCAUUGAUACUGUCGUUCUUGAGUACAGUUGUAGUGGGCGGAAUAUGUCAUGUAGCGGUGAAAUGCAUAGAUAUGACAUAGAACACCGAUCGCGAAGGCAGCUCACUAAGCUGUAACUGACGCUGAGGCACGAAAGCGUGGGGAGCAAACAGGAUUAGAUACCCCGGUAGUC